This 305-nucleotide ribosomal RNA is filed under the name uncultured bacterium. Its description in RNAcentral is "bacterial SSU rRNA". It matches the Rfam family "Bacterial small subunit ribosomal RNA", at positions 334 to 656 of the family's 1533-position model. The record is from RNAcentral.
UAUACCUACGGGAGGCAGCAGUGGGGAAUAUUGCACAAUGGGGGAAACCCUGAUGCAGCGACGCCGCGUGAGUGAAGAAGUAAUUCGUUAUGUAAAGCUCUAUCAGCAGGGAAGAAAAUGACGGUACCUGACUAAGAAGCCCCGGCUAACUACGUGCCAGCAGCCGCGGUAAUACGUAGGGGGCAAGCGUUAUCCGGAUUUACUGGGUGUAAAGGGAGCGUAGACGGUGCAGCAAGUCUGAUGUGAAAGGUCGGGGCCCAACCCCGGGACUGCAUUGGAAACUGUUGAACUGGAGUACAGGAGAG